UAGAAUUCCACGUGUAACAGUGAAAUGCGUACAGAUGUGGAGGAAUACCGGUGGCGAAGGCGGCCUUCUGGACAGUUACUGACGCUGAGAUGCGAAAGCGUGGGGAGCAAACAGGAUUAGAUACCCUGGUAGUCCACGCUGUAAACGAUGUCGAUUUGGAGUUUGUUGCCUAGAGUGAUGGGCUCCGAAGCUAACGCGAUAAAUCGACCGCCUGGGGAGUACGGCCGCAAGGUUAAAACUCAAAUGAAUUGACGGGGGCCCGCACAAGCGGUGGAGCAUGUGGUUUAAUUCGAUGCAACGCGAAGAACCUUACCUGGUCUUGACAUCCACAGAAUCUUGCAGAGAUGCGAGAGUGCCUUCGGGAACUGUGAGACAGGUGCUGCAUGGCUGUCGUCAGCUCGUGUUGUGAAAUGUUGGGUUAAGUCCCGCAACGAGCGCAACCCUUAUCCUUUGUUGCCAGCGAUUAGGUCGGGAACUCAAAGGAGACUGCCGUUGAUAAAGCGGAGGAAGGUGGGGACGACGUCAAGUCAUCAUGGCCCUUACGACCAGGGCUACACACGUGCUACAAUGGCGUAUACAAAGGGAGGCGACCUCGCGAGAGCAAGCGGACCUCAUAAAGUACGUCUAAGUCCGGAUUGGAGUCUGCAACUCCACUCCACGAAGUCGGAAUCGAUUGUAACAGUUAAUCAGAAAAC
This 695-nucleotide ribosomal RNA is filed under the name uncultured Enterobacteriaceae bacterium. RNAcentral's name for it is "bacterial SSU rRNA". It matches the Rfam family "Bacterial small subunit ribosomal RNA", at positions 662 to 1357 of the family's 1533-position model. Lineage: Bacteria; Pseudomonadati; Pseudomonadota; Gammaproteobacteria; Enterobacterales; Enterobacteriaceae. The record is from RNAcentral.